This is a non-coding RNA of Sarcophilus harrisii (Tasmanian devil), 48 nucleotides long. The record is from Rfam. NCBI's taxonomy places the organism in Eukaryota, Metazoa, Chordata, Mammalia, Dasyuromorphia, Dasyuridae.
ACAGAGGUCCUUAGCCUAAGGACCACAAACUUUAAAAAAAAAAAAUCU